AGUUAAUUAUACCGGUAUUUCUUUUUGGGGAAAAAAAGAAAUGAUGGGUAAUUUCGUUUUGACUU
This 65-nucleotide transfer RNA is filed under the name Elateridae sp. GENSP01. RNAcentral's name for it is "tRNA-Pro". The record is from RNAcentral. Lineage: Eukaryota; Metazoa; Arthropoda; Insecta; Coleoptera; Elateridae.